CCUACGGGAGGCAGCAGUGAGGAAUAUUGGUCAAUGGACGAGAGUCUGAACCAGCCAAGUAGCGUGAAGGAUGACUGCCCUAUGGGUUGUAAACUUCUUUUAUAUGGGAAUAAACUGUUCCACGUGUGGGAUUUUGUAUGUACCGUAUGAAUAAGGAUCGGCUAACUCCGUGCCAGCAGCCGCGGUAAUACGGAGGAUCCGAGCGUUAUCCGGAUUUAUUGGGUUUAAAGGGAGCGUAGGUGGAUUGUUAAGUCAGUUGUGAAAGUUUGCGGCUCAACCGUAAAAUUGCAGUUGAAACUGGCAGUCUUGAGUACAGUAGAGGUGGGCGGAAUUCGUGGUGUAGCGGUGAAAUGCUUAGAUAUCACGAAGAACUCCGAUUGCGAAGGCAGUUCACUGGACUGCAACUGACACUGAGGCUCGAAAGUGUGGGUAUCAAACAGGAUUAGAUACCCCAGUAGUC
RNAcentral lists this ribosomal RNA (460 nucleotides) under uncultured bacterium. RNAcentral describes it as "partial 16S ribosomal RNA". It matches the Rfam family "Bacterial small subunit ribosomal RNA", at positions 338 to 795 of the family's 1533-position model. The record is from RNAcentral.